AUACUUACCUGCAGAGGCGAAAACCUUGAUCAUGAAGGGGUUCCCCCAGAGUGGGGCUUGCUUUGCCCCCCGGAUGUGCCGCCUUUGCGAAUUCCCCAUUGUGGGGAUUUCAACUGCAUAAUUUGGUGGUCUGGGGGCUGGUACGCCCUUCCCCGGG
This is a small nuclear RNA of Cyprinodon tularosa, 157 nucleotides long. RefSeq annotates it as U1 spliceosomal RNA. Lineage: Eukaryota; Metazoa; Chordata; Actinopteri; Cyprinodontiformes; Cyprinodontidae. The record is from RefSeq and is a predicted model, not a curated record. The transcript has a single exon.